UGAUAGAGGAUGCCUGUUGCCACGA
RNAcentral lists this non-coding RNA (25 nucleotides) under Mus musculus (house mouse). The record is from RNAcentral. Lineage: Eukaryota; Metazoa; Chordata; Mammalia; Rodentia; Muridae.